UUCAAAUUGAUGAUAUUCAUAAAUUGACACUUUUAUCUGGUCUAUUGUCGAUCGAUAUGUUUCAUCAUCUCUCGGAUGUUCUUGUUAGUGGACGUAUGUUUGAAGC
Molecule: small nucleolar RNA, 106 nt
Filed under: Thelohanellus kitauei
Lineage: Eukaryota; Metazoa; Cnidaria; Myxozoa; Bivalvulida; Myxobolidae
Description: Small nucleolar RNA Me28S-Am2589
Rfam family: Small nucleolar RNA Me28S-Am2589
About the family: Me28S-Am2589 is a member of the C/D class of snoRNA which contain the C (UGAUGA) and D (CUGA) box motifs. This family directs 2'-O-methylation of 28S A-2589.
Source: Rfam by way of RNAcentral